This 1385-nucleotide long non-coding RNA is filed under the name Ursus maritimus (polar bear). RNAcentral's name for it is "lncRNA (ENSUMAG00000018377.1)". The record is from RNAcentral. Lineage: Eukaryota; Metazoa; Chordata; Mammalia; Carnivora; Ursidae.
GCUAGGAGAUUCUCAGCUUGCCCUGACAUAGCUUCCCGGCUAUUUUUCCUGGAAUGGGACCAAAGCUCUUCAGGAUUUGAGGCCCUCUGAAGAUUAUCGGCUCUAAAGAAGAAACCUGGGAAAUCUCAGUGGCAGGAAUUCUCCAGGGCAGAGCGGGGAGGCCUCUUUCUGCGAGAUUUAGCUCUUUCACCGUGGAAGGUGUCUGCUCAGUGUGGAGCACACUCGGAACCCCUCUUACCUGGGCUUCUGGCUGAACUUGCAUUUGCAUUUCCCACCUGUUGGGGGAGAAAGGAUGGUUGGGGGAGGGACCCACAGCCCUGCGCUGCCAGCUCAGCCACCAGUAUCCCCACUCACUCAUGAGGACGAUGAUGCCGACGGUGCACAGAACGGCGUUUUCCGCCGAUCCGGAGUCUGUGCCAGUCUAGGAGAAAGCCAGACAAGGCCAUCAAUGCCUGCCUGCGUCCUCCCCGUCCAAACCCCCAUCUAUUCAACAGCAGUUGAUUUGAACCGUAACAACGGCUUUUUGUGAACUGUCCUGGCUUCCCGUGUGCGCCUGUCGUGCCGGAAGAGAAGCUUCCCAGGAACCAGACCGGCGUGGCUUGUUCCUUCAUUCGGCUGUGAUGACUGUUCAGUGUCUCCCCCUCCUUGCCCCUUCCUAUCCUGGCCCCUGUUUCGCGCACAUCGGACCCCCACCCAAGCUGUGUGGGACCCCUGACACAAAAUGGUGGGAGGGGGUGUAGGAGGGGGACAGCCAGGAGAGGGGCACAAGCUCUCACCAUAGUAGAAAGGGCUGUUUUUAUCUGCAAGGAAAGAAAAAAAAGAACGUGAAUCCAGGACAACAGCCAGGAGGCAAGGGUUCUGGGGGAGAAUUUGGGGGUGAGCCUGGUGGAGGAGACUGACUCACCUUCUGGGUCGUUGGCGUCCAAGGCAGGCAGGCCUGCUGGGAGAAGCGAAAAGGAGAGGGGUUGGCGUGCUGGCCUCGGCAAAGCUGGCAGACAGGGCCACAGACCCUUAGGGGCCCCGAUGGACAGGUCCCCGCCUCCUGAGGGCACAGGGAUCCAUCCGGUGCCAAGCCUGGAGGUGUGGACUCCCCCCCACCCCCGCCACCCCACACCUGUGAGCCCCAUAGGCCCUCAUUUUGCCUCCCGGAACAGGUUUUAAUCUGGGUGGCUGGGGGCCACCCUUUGGCCUGAUGUUUCCAGACACCAGGCUAAUCCUCCCUCCUGCAGAAACCAAGCAACAUUCUCGUCAAGAUGACAGAUGGUCCAGUUCCCAGUCAUUCGCAGAGCCCCGUCCACACCCCACCCGUUCUGGUGUUUGCUCGCCGCUUCCUUUUAGAGCAAAUUACUAAUUAUAAACUUAAUACACUUUCUUUGAAAACGCAG